GACGAACGCUGGCGGCGUGCCUAAUACAUGCAAGUCGAGCGAGCGGCGGACGGGUGAGUAAUGUAUGGGGACUGCCCGCUAGAGGGGGAUAACUACUGGAAACGGUGGCUAAUACCGCAUACUAUCGGAUAACCCAUAUGGGAUUAGCUAGUAGGUGGGGUAAAGGCUCACCUAGGCGACGAUCUCUAGCUGGUCUGCGAGGAUGAUCAGCCAACCUGGGACUGAGACACGCCCCAGAUCACUACGGAGGCAGCAGUGGGGAAUAUUGCACAAUGGGCGCAAGCCUGAUGCAGCCAUGCCGCGUUUAUGAAGAUGGCCUUAGGGUUGUAAAGUACUUUCAGCGGGGAGGCGUUACCCGCAGAAGAAGCACCGGCUAACUCCGUGCCAGCAGCCGCGGUAACAC
This 403-nucleotide ribosomal RNA is filed under the name uncultured bacterium. Its description in RNAcentral is "partial 16S ribosomal RNA". It matches the Rfam family "Bacterial small subunit ribosomal RNA", at positions 28 to 526 of the family's 1533-position model. The record is from RNAcentral.